AAAGCAGCAGAGAAGCAACUUCCUACCAAGGAGGUGUCCUGCCUGGGGAGGAGAGAGGUGUAGGAUGACCAACCCCCCAGACAUUCAGACCAUAGAAUCACAGAAUC
Calypte anna (Anna's hummingbird) is the source of this 107-nucleotide long non-coding RNA. RefSeq lists it as uncharacterized. The transcript is spliced from 3 exons. NCBI's taxonomy places the organism in Eukaryota, Metazoa, Chordata, Aves, Apodiformes, Trochilidae. The record is from RefSeq and is a predicted model, not a curated record.